GUUGAUAAGGUUAAGUGAAUAAGGGCGCACGGUGGAUGCCUUGGCACUAGGAGCCGAUGAAGGACGGGACUAACACCGAUAUGCUUUGGGGAGCUGUACGUAAGCUAUGAUCCAGAGAUUUCCGAAUGGGGAAACCCAACAUCUUUUAUAGGAUGUUACGUUUGCGUGAAUACAUAGCGCAUUCGAGGUAGACGCAGAGAACUGAAACAUCUAAGUACCUGCAGGAAGAGAAAGAAAAUUCGAUUCCCUGAGUAGCGGCGAGCGAAACGGGAAAAGCCCAAACCAAUGAGCUUGCUCAUUGGGGUUGUAGGACUCCAAUAUGGUAGUUCUUUCAGAUAAUCGAAUGACUUGGAAAAGUCAGUCAAAGAGGGUAAAAACCCCGUAGAUGAAAUUUGGAAGGCACCUAGGAGGAUCCUGAGUACGGCGGAACACGAGGAAUUCCGUCGGAAUCCGGGAGGACCAUCUCCCAAGGCUAAAUACUCCCUAGUGACCGAUAGUGAACCAGUACCGUGAGGGAAAGGUGAAAAGCACCCCGGAAGGGGAGUGAAAGAGUUCCUGAAACCGUGCGCCUACAAUCCGUCGGAGCCUCCUUGUGGGGUGACGGCGUGCCUAUCGAAAAAUGAGUCUGCGAGUCAGUGGUGCGUGGCGAGGCUAACCCGUGGUGGGGGAGCCGUAGCGAAGGCGAGUCUCAAAAGGCGUUUUGAGUCGCGCGCCCUGGACCCGAAGCGGGAUGAUCUAGCCCUGAGCAGGUUGAAGCGCGGGUAAGACCGCGUGGAGGACCGAACCCACCUGGGUUGAAAACCGGGGGGAUGACUUGGGGCUAGGGGUGAAAGGCCAAUCAAAUUCCGUGAUAGCUGGUUCUCUCCGAAAUAGCUUUAGGGCUAGCCUCGGAUUUGAGAAUGAUGGAGGUAGAGCACUGUUUGGACUAGGGGCCCAUCUCGGGUU
Molecule: ribosomal RNA, 945 nt
Filed under: Blautia obeum
Lineage: Bacteria; Bacillati; Bacillota; Clostridia; Lachnospirales; Lachnospiraceae
Description: partial 23S ribosomal RNA
Rfam family: Bacterial large subunit ribosomal RNA
Source: RNAcentral